Myotis brandtii (Brandt's bat) is the source of this 885-nucleotide long non-coding RNA. RefSeq lists it as uncharacterized. The transcript has 3 exons. The record is from RefSeq and is a predicted model, not a curated record. Lineage: Eukaryota; Metazoa; Chordata; Mammalia; Chiroptera; Vespertilionidae.
GUGCUAAAUAUUCUGGCCUCAUCAGUUAUCUAUCUCUGGGAAAGUUACAUGGUCUGUCAGGCUCUGUCUUUUCCCCCUGAUGGCUAAUAAAUAAAUGGAAGAAAACAAAAAUUGGCUGUUCUGGCCGUGUGGACCUAACCCUUCUGAAGCGAUGGCUGAUAUCACUCUUCCCUCUCUUUCUGCCAGAGGCUGACACUUAUCUUACCCGGUUCACCGUCCCUCAGACAUACAAUUACUCUGUUCUCCUUGUGGAUCCUGCUUCCCAUACACUUUAUGUCGGCGCCCGGGACACCAUCUUCGCUUUGUCUCUGCCCUUCUCAGGGGAGAGACCUCGAAGGAUUGACUGGAUGGUACCUGAGGGAGAAAAACAGAACUGUAUGGCAAAAGGCAAGGAGGAGGACGAAUGUCACAAUUUUGUCCAGAUUCUCGCCAUUGCCAAUGCCUCUCACCUCCUCACUUGUGGCACCUUCGCUUUUGAUCCGAAGUGCGGGGUUAUUGUGAGUGACAGGGGUGGGAGGAUGGGAAGGGUCGUCUGUGAGUGACCAUGAUGGGGGUCAUGCUUAAGGUAACCGAUGUGCAUGAUAAGCAUGGGGGUGAGGGAUGUCCUCACUGGGUGGAGCCUUUGCCACUGGAGGAGGUACGAAAGGGUGGGGAGGGAGGUUGUCUGUAGAAGGUAAGUUAUACAAAGUCUAAAGGGAGAAGUAGUGGGACAGUGAAGGAAGUUAGGGAUGCUAGCUGAGCUGGGGAGAGAAGAAAUCCAGGAGAAACUUCAGAGGUAGUAACUCACGUUUCCCUUGUCUAUGUAUGCUUUGUCCAGGAGCCUGGGUCCAUUUCUUUAUUUUUUUUUUCCUGAAUCCAUUUCUUAAUCAGCACUGUCCAUGCCUA